AGAGAGAGACAUGCGCGCAUAUCAAUAAGCGGAGGAAAAGAAACUAACUAGGAUUCCCUCAGUAACGGCGAGUGAAGCGGGAAGAGCUCAAAUUUGAAAUCUUCAAGGUUCUACCUUGACGAAUUGUAGUUUAAAGAAGUGUUUUCUGUUGGAGUUUCGGUAAAAGUUCUUUGGAAUAGGACAUCAUAGAGGGUGAGAAUCCCGUAUUUGACCUUUACUUUCAACUUUGUGAUACACUUUCAAAGAGUCGGAUUGUUUGGGAAUGCAGUCCAAAAUGGGUGGUAAAUUUCAUCUAAAGCUAAAUAUUGGCGAGAGACCGAUAGCGAACAAGUACCGUGAGGGAAAGAUGAAAAGAACUUUGAAAAGAGAGUUAAACAGUACGUGAAAUUGUCAAAAGGGAAGCGUUUGACACCAGUGUUGUUUUUCUGAAAAUCAAUUAAAGAACUGUUUAUGCUAAGUUGUUUAGACUUUAUCAGCUAUCUGUUUAGUUUUGAGCUUUUCUUUAAUGCACUUUUCAGUUAACAAGUCAACAUCAAUUUCUUUUGUUGUAAAAGGGUCAUUGGAAGGUGGCUUUCUUUUCGGAGAAAGUGUUUAUAGCCUUUGGCCUCUGCAAUCGGAGAGAUUGAGGUCUGCAGCGUAGAUCCUUCGGGGUUAGAUACAUUUGUGCUAAGUUAUAGCCUUUCAUAGACAACUUGUUGACUAUGAUCAGUCAUGUAGCUUACUCGCUUAUGCUAUUUUACCUACGCUUAGGAUGUUGAUGUGAUACUGCGAGC
Molecule: ribosomal RNA, 773 nt
Filed under: uncultured Neocallimastigales
Lineage: Eukaryota; Fungi; Neocallimastigomycota; Neocallimastigomycetes; Neocallimastigales
Description: partial large subunit ribosomal RNA
Rfam family: Eukaryotic large subunit ribosomal RNA
Source: RNAcentral